This 427-nucleotide ribosomal RNA is filed under the name uncultured Pseudomonadales bacterium. RNAcentral's name for it is "bacterial SSU rRNA". It matches the Rfam family "Bacterial small subunit ribosomal RNA", at positions 356 to 774 of the family's 1533-position model. Lineage: Bacteria; Pseudomonadati; Pseudomonadota; Gammaproteobacteria; Pseudomonadales. The record is from RNAcentral.
GGGGAAUAUUGGACAAUGGGGGGAACCCUGAUCCAGCCAUGCCGCGUGUGUGAAGAAGGCCUUAUGGUUGUAAAGCACUUUAAGCGAGGAGGAGGCUCUUUUGGUUAAUACCCAAGAUGAGUGGACGUUACUCGCAGAAUAAGCACCGGCUAACUCUGUGCCAGCAGCCGCGGUAAUACAGAGGGUGCGAGCGUUAAUCGGAAUUACUGGGCGUAAAGCGCGCGUAGGUGGUUCGUUAAGUUGGAUGUGAAAGCCCCGGGCUCAACCUGGGAACUGCAUCCAAAACUGGCGAGCUAGAGUAUGGCAGAGGGUGGUGGAAUUUCCUGUGUAGCGGUGAAAUGCGUAGAUAUAGGAAGGAACACCAGUGGCGAAGGCGACCACCUGGGCUAAUACUGACACUGAGGUGCGAAAGCGUGGGGAGCAAACA